This is a non-coding RNA of Paramuricea clavata, 263 nucleotides long. NCBI's taxonomy places the organism in Eukaryota, Metazoa, Cnidaria, Anthozoa, Malacalcyonacea, Plexauridae. The record is from the annotation of a GenBank genome assembly.
CUUUUAUUUGUCGAGCGAAAUUUAAUAAUUCUAAUACGCUUAUGCAUUAUGUAUUGUACGAGAUUGUACAAGAUUCUUAAAUAUAAAUUAGACACACUAUAUUACAAUUACUGUCGGUACAGACCAACGACAUCAAAACACAAUUCGUAAAAACGUCUAGAGAUAAAACACUGUCUUGUUAGCCAUCUACCGACUCUUGUUUGUGAUAAAUUAAACUGUUUAUGAUAAAUCUUCCACAUGAGACUACGAAAUCGAACGGAAAU